This 406-nucleotide long non-coding RNA is filed under the name Amborella trichopoda. Its description in RNAcentral is "long non-coding RNA (ATRI_LNC004427)". The record is from RNAcentral. Lineage: Eukaryota; Viridiplantae; Streptophyta; Magnoliopsida; Amborellales; Amborellaceae.
CCCUCGUCUCUUUUUUCCGUCUCCCUCUUUUAUUGACUUUUAAAUUAUUUUUUUUUUAAAUAGCUUCCUCUCGCUCUCUUCCCCUCUUGCUUCAGCCAUUGCUGCAGCCCAACAAGCUCACCCUCUCCCAUACGAUUGAAGUUGCAAAACCACCUCAAUGGAUCCGCCAUCUCUCGUUUAUCAUUUUGAACUCCAUUAUUGACCUAUCUUUCCAUCACUCCUCUCGGUUUUGCUUGCAUUACCAGGUUUGAGUAUCAUAAUUUUCUUUCUUUCUUUUUUUUUUUCUUUUGGGUUUUUAUACUUUUGUUGUAGAGAAAGAGAAGACGUGUGAGUCUUCGGGUUUUGAUGUAAUUUUUUGUUUUUCUUUCUAGGGUUUUAGGUUGGGUUUCUCUAUGGUUUGUUAAAA